Molecule: ribosomal RNA, 445 nt
Filed under: uncultured bacterium
Lineage: Bacteria
Description: partial 16S ribosomal RNA
Rfam family: Bacterial small subunit ribosomal RNA
Source: RNAcentral
GUAGGGAAUAUUGGGCAAUGGAUGCAAGUCUGACCCAGCCAUCCCGCGUGCCGGAAGAAGGCCCUCAGGGUUGUAAACGGCUUUUGACGGUGAAGAACCGACAGGAUGCGUCCUGUUUUGACGGUAGCCGUUGAAUAAGCACCGGCUAACUUCGUGCCAGCAGCCGCGGUAAUACGGAGGGUGCGAGCGUUGUCCGGAUUUAUUGGGUUUAAAGGGUGCGUAGGCUGGAGGGACAGUCAGCGGUGAAAAGCAGUUGCUCAACAAUUGUCUUGCCGCAGAUACUACCUUUCUUGGAUUGGGAGGAGGUUACCGGAACGGAUGGUGUAGCGGUGAAAUGCAUAGAUAUCAUCCAGAACGCCAAUUGCGAAGGCAGGUAACUGUACCUAUAUCGACGCUGAUGCACGAAAGCAUGGGUAGCGAACAGGAUUAGAAACCCCUGUAGUCC